RNAcentral lists this transfer RNA (84 nucleotides) under Fluviispira sanaruensis. RNAcentral's name for it is "Silvanigrellales bacterium RF1110005 tRNA-Leu". It matches the Rfam family "tRNA". From Rfam's summary of the family: Transfer RNA (tRNA) molecules are approximately 80 nucleotides in length. The record is from RNAcentral. Lineage: Bacteria; Pseudomonadati; Bdellovibrionota; Oligoflexia; Silvanigrellales; Silvanigrellaceae. RNAcentral also lists the same sequence under 1 other name.
GCGGACGUGGUGAAAUUGGUAGACACGCUGGUCUUAGAAGCCAGUGCCAAUGGUGUGAGAGUUCGAGUCUCUCCGUCCGCACCA